This 868-nucleotide long non-coding RNA is filed under the name Homo sapiens (human). RNAcentral's name for it is "HSALNT0329670". The record is from RNAcentral. Lineage: Eukaryota; Metazoa; Chordata; Mammalia; Primates; Hominidae.
CAGCCCUGGCGUGGGAGGGUGACUGGCGAGAGGACAUGUGUUCAUGGUGCCUGUGUCCUUCAUAACUUGGGUCACAGCAGUUUCCAACAAGAAAGAGAACUGAAACAACCAGGGAAUUCCCUGGCAAGGAGAAGUCCUGCCCAGUCUGCAUCUUUCAGAAGCCAGGAGGAAUGCCCCAGGUUUGUGGGUAGGAGUAUGCAUACACAGUGCUGGUUGUUGGCUUUCCGGAGGCAGAUGGGAGCUGGAAGUCUCACGAAGGGAGAGUAAGAGCCCGAAGGGAACACUGAACUCCACUGUGUGGGAGCUUGAGGGGCCUGUGCUGCCCAUGCCGAGUGUCCACCAUCUCACACUGCUUCUAACACCUUCAAGCCAUCUCCUGAAUCUGGAAUAGUCAUCAUGAGCUGGAGGCUUCCUCAGAAGAACCCUAAAAUCAAGGGGGAUUCUGGUGCCAAGAAAAAUAGCCCAACCCAGCUUCACAGCUGUGAGCCUCCAAUGCGCCCCAGGAAGCUGCCAUCACCAUGGGUAGCGCGACCUGGCUUGAUUUUGCCAAAACAAAGGAAAAUUCCUCCAGCAAUUUCUGUGAAUUUGUUUUGCAAAACUGAAUUGUCUGCUUUUAAUUCCCCUAUACCAAUUAAAUAAAAAUUGGAAUUUAAAAUCCAGUGAAUGACAGAAACCUCACUUUGGAGUGGAUGACAGACCCCACGCAACCUGGGGUCUGGGGUAGAGAAGUGAGAUGCUGGGAACUUCCAGGGAGUGGCGGCUUUGGUGGCAGGCUCCCUAGGUUUUGGGGCUCCUGGACCAUCCUUAUGUGUACAUGUGCUCUGAACCCAUGGGACUAAUAGCUGACCACGAACAGAACAGCAGCGAG